Molecule: ribosomal RNA, 494 nt
Filed under: uncultured bacterium
Lineage: Bacteria
Description: partial 16S ribosomal RNA
Rfam family: Bacterial small subunit ribosomal RNA
Source: RNAcentral
GACGAACGCUGGCGGCGUGCUUAACACAUGCAAGUCGAACGGUGAAGCGCCUUCCUUUUUGGUGGGUGUGGAGGAGCGGCGAACGGGUGAGUAACACGUGAGUAACCUGCCCCCUUCUUCUGGAUAACCGCAUGAAAGUGUGGCUAAUACGGGAUAUUCUGGGUCGGUCGCAUGAUGGGUCUGGGAAAGAUAUUGUUUCGGUGGGGGAUGGGCUCGCGGCCUAUCAGCUUGUUGGUGGGGUGAUGGCCUACCAAGGCGGUGACGGGUAGCCGGCCUGAGAGGGUCGACGGCCCCACUGGGGCUGCGCCACGCACCCGACUCCUGCGGGCGGCAGCAGUGGGUAUUAUUGCACAGUGGGAGGCAGCCUGAUGCAGCGCCGCCGCGUGAGGGAUGGAGGCCUGCGGGUUGUGAACCUCUUUCGCCAGUGAAGCAGGCCUGCCUCGUUUGUGGGUGGGUUGACGGUAGCUGGAUAAGAAGCGCCGGCUAACUACGUG